UAUCUCUCUGUACAGGGAAGGAUGAGAAGCUUCGAUUAAGGUUCGACUCGAGCGGAAGCGAGAGAACGUUGCCAA
Molecule: small RNA, 75 nt
Filed under: Salmonella enterica
Lineage: Bacteria; Pseudomonadati; Pseudomonadota; Gammaproteobacteria; Enterobacterales; Enterobacteriaceae
Description: partial RtT sRNA
Rfam family: RtT RNA
About the family: This family represents a bacterial cis-regulatory element known as RtT RNA. The exact function of RtT is unknown although it is thought that it may be involved in changing the cellular response in relation to amino acid starvation.
Source: RNAcentral